GCACAAGCGGUGGAGUAUGUGGUUUAAUUCGAUGCAACGCGAAGAACCUUACCUGGUCUUGACAUCCCGGAGACCCUUAGGAAACUAGGGGGUGCUUCCAUCUGGAAGAAUCUGGAGACAGGUGCUGCAUGGCUGUCGUCAGCUCGUGUCGUGAGAUGAUGGGUUAAGUCCCGCAACGAGCGCAACCCUUGCCUUUAGUUGCCAGCAGUUCGGCUGGGCACUCUAAAGGGACUGCCGGUGUUAAACCGGAGGAAGGUGGGGAUGACGUCAAGUCCUCAUGGCCUUUAUGACCAGGGCUACACACGUACUACAAUGGCCGAUACAAAGGGCAGCGACACUGCGAGGUGAAGCCAAUCCCGUAAAAUCGGUCUCAGUCCGGAUUGGAGUCUGCAACUCGACUCCAUGAAGUUGGAAUCGCUAGUAAUCGUGGAUCAGCAUGCCACGGUGAAUACGUUCCCGGGCCUU
Molecule: ribosomal RNA, 465 nt
Filed under: uncultured Desulfobulbus sp.
Lineage: Bacteria; Pseudomonadati; Thermodesulfobacteriota; Desulfobulbia; Desulfobulbales; Desulfobulbaceae
Description: bacterial SSU rRNA
Rfam family: Bacterial small subunit ribosomal RNA
Source: RNAcentral